UUCGACAACCAGAGGGGUGAGUCGCAGUGUCCUCAGCCAUCUCCGCACCCCACCAUGACACGCAAGCUGUCCUGUUUCCUGAGGGAGCUUGACGGGCCACCUGACAUUCUCCGUAUCUGGACUCUGGCCCUCUGUUUCGCACAUGCUUCGAUUGACUGCUCAAAUUCUUGCUCUUGGACGUGCCCUGAGGAAAUCGGGCGGAGACAGGAGCCCGCAGCAGUGGCCCAGCCAGCCCGACGGCCGAGUCUCAGCUCGCCCCACGCCGCCCCGUGACGUGCCCCGUGGGGCUCUCCCCGCUCCAGCGCUCUCGCCCCUCUAGUGGCCCUGGAGUUACCUAAGUGGCCCUCGGACGUCCGACUGUGACACUGCUCAGGCUAAGCAAGUCCCCUCACUGUCUGCGCCUGCCACUGUCCUGACACACGGACCUACCGCCUGCCCGGCGUGGCGCUGUCCUCAUCGCUCACAGACAGCUUUUUCCACGAGACAAAUACUCCUAUUUUAUUUAUUUGACAGAGAGAGACACAGCGAGAGAGGGAACACAAGCAGGGGGAGUGGGAGAGGGAGAAGCAGGUUUCCCGCCGAGCAGGGAGCCCGAUGCGGGGCUCGAUCCCAGGACCCUGGGACCAUGACCUGAGCCGAAGGCAGACGCUUAACCGACUGAGCCACCCAGGCACCCCGUGAACACGGUUUUCUUAAGGGAAGGUCAAGCCCACCUUGUGAUGGAGUUCACCAGCGUCCGCAGUCGGACUGGUCUGUCCGGACGGGUGGACAGCCUCCACACGGCUGCCCGCCAGGACACAGCUCUCUACAGUUUCUGAAGUGUUCUCCCACGUAUACAUAUACCACCUCCCGUCAUUCUCACAACAAUGGGGCACUUGGAGCCUUAUCACCCCAAUUUUGAAGCAAAGCUAACAGGUUCAGAGAGGAUGUUUCUCAGUCACAUUAUUUCUUGAGCAAGACAUAGCUGUACCCAUCUUGACUUGAUCCAGUUCACAAGGCAUGGCUCAGAACGGCAUUUACUUCCAACGAGCAAAUUUAUUCACAAAAGACAAAGAUUUCUCCUUAUUGAAAAUACUCCUAAGACUUGUGUCACAGGACCUAAGAGGAACUCUGCAAGAUUAGUCCUAGCUUUCUUUGACCAGUGGCUACUUUAGAAAUGUACACAGUUUCCCAAGCAAAGUACUUUGUAAGAAAAACAUUCAUUUUUAUGUCUUAGUUCUGGUAUUUUUGUUAAAAGCUAAGUACUUUGUAAGAAAACAUUCACUUUUAUGUCUUAGUUCUGGUAUUUUUGUUAAAAGUGAUUUCUUUUAUGUUACUUGAUUCGGUGCUG
This is a long non-coding RNA of Mirounga angustirostris (Northern elephant seal), 1330 nucleotides long. RefSeq lists it as uncharacterized. The record is from RefSeq and is a predicted model, not a curated record. The transcript is spliced from 4 exons. Lineage: Eukaryota; Metazoa; Chordata; Mammalia; Carnivora; Phocidae.